GAGACUGCCUUCUGCACUAUCUCUAUUCUCUUACAUUCCAUCCCCCCUCAGAGUUGUCCAGGUUUGUUCACUGACAGUUCUCCUGUUCAUAAACAUCUUCUGGCGAUGACUGGAUCACUUAGAGCUGCUGCUGAAUUGGUGUCAUGACAGGAGUUGUUGCACUCAUUGUGAUGAGCUUUAAACUUCAGCUGCCAACAUGCCAUGAUCAAAGAAUUCAUUGGAUCUGCUUUGGCCAGGACACAGCUUUUUCCAGCUGGCCAAGGAAACCGAACAAUCCUCAGCAGAAUCCAAUUGCCCAAUCACUUCAGGAAAAAGACCUGAGAGAGCCCAGCCAGCAGGGGCCCCACAAAGCUUCUGUACCAACAGGCUUCAUUACACUGGGGGAAACCAAGGAGAAUCCACCUCAGCAAACAGACUGGUCCUGGCUCCCUGAUCCAAAGUAAGCAUCAGCAACCUGGAAUGGCUGGGUUUGGUUUGUUUGUGUGUUUUUCAUACAAUAGCAUCCUGAAAUGGCUACGUACAAUUGAGAACCCCAUCAAUAUUACAUCUGCAACAGAAGGUGAAAACCUCCUGGUGUGCACAAGGAAUCCAUUUAGUCCUUCAGACAAGAUCUCCAGUGCCAGGCAGAACACCUGGUCUCUUGGUCCAUCUUUGAGGUGCUCUGGUGGAAACCCAGAGGCAGCCAAAAGCUCCCUGUGACCCCAUAUCCACACAGGAGCUCCUGUGAGCCACACUGGGGUGGUGCUGACAGCAAUUCACUGAGGGCUUCGUGACCUGAUUUUAAACAGCUGCAAUGAAUUGCUUUUGCCUUGAAUUUUAAACCAUUUAUUCUGGGAGGGCAGAACACUUCUAUGAUGCAGCAUCACGCUGAAUGCAGGACGAGCAGAUGACAGGAUACCUGGUGUUUUUUUGGGACAUGGCCCCUGAGUCCUUGGGGAUGCAGGCUGCAUCUGUGAGCAAUUCCUGGGCUGUGCUUUUUGGGCUUUGCAGCCCUGCUGCUGUGGGGAUGGACCUGGGGUGAUGUUUUGCAGCACAGUGGCAGCACCAGAACUGCUUCAAAAUAAAGGCGCCAGCUACAAUUAUGACAAAUGUACCCUCCCAAGUGGAGCCUCAGGGCUGGGAAGGGCACUCAGCUCAUCUCAGGCACUUACCAGUCAGGUAUGUAAGACAGAAAGUAUUUACCUCAGGGGAAAAUCACAGCAUUUUCACCUGAUUAUAUGGAUUUUACUUGCCAGUCAAGGCUCUUAUAGCUGAGAGAGGUGUGAGACUGCUAUCUAAAACAGCUUGGACAUCCAAACAAAUGUUCUUCCCAGCUUGCAGAAAUGUUAGUAGUUGUCCUGUCGAUUGGAGGCUUUUUGGAGAAACAAUGUCACCACUUGUAUUUUGACUUUUGCCAGAGAAGGGAGCAGCCUGCCCAUCAGUCUUUUCGUGCCUCAAGAGACCUCUCCAUGACUGAGUGAUAAGAGAAAGCAAAUUGUACAUGUUAACAGAGCUCUUAAUAUUGCAGUGGAUGGAUGCCGCGUUGUGCCAUGUACCCAGCUGGAUGGAGCAUGGUGCCUUUCCAUGUACACUUGUCCAUUGAGGAAUUGUGCAGCUCACAGAUCACUGUUUGAUUUCUCUGCCUCCUGCUGCCCACAAUCUGCCUCCUGCACACCUGUUGGAUGGCAUUACACCCUCAGCAGCCAGGAGUGGGUGUCAGUGGGUCAGUGGGCUGUGCUGGCUCUGUGCUCACCCCUGAGUACAGCCUGCAGCAGUGAGGGGUAAAUGAUUAACCUGCAUCUGUUCUGCUUUUUGCACGGAGACUCUGGGCUUGCCUUCAUUCCACAGCCACUGAAUAGGGAAGCUGCCAUUGAAGCCAGCCAGCUCUCCUUAGGUCUACAUCCUGAAAAUCAGUGUCAGCACAGCUGAACCCUAAAACAACAAGAUUUCUGCUUUAAUGCUGAUGUGACAAAUGCUAACAGCCAUAACCACGUGGGAGGACAUGAAUUUGUGCUCUCUUUUUGAUGCAAUCACUUGUAAUUAUGUUGACUAAACUUUUAAUUUAGUAUAUAUUUUUUAAAAAGGCCACGUCAUGAAGUGGUUUUGCCUUGUCCACACAAGCUAACAAAUCAAAUUGUUUCCUCUUUUCUUGUAGAAGGAGGGAAUUCCAUAAGACUGUCUCUGUCCUGUGCCUUGCACUGAGUCUCUUUCGCCUAUUUUUGUCACAUUCUUGACCAAAUACUGGGUUUGAUUUUGACCCAGAUCUGUAUAAAUUACUGUAGCAAUAGGGUUGGAAUUCAUGCACAAAUGUACUGAGCAAAGGACAAACCUAUGGUCACAAAAUGGGCUGUGAUGAAACCAGGGAAACAAAUGACCCUGACAAGGACAAUGCACAAGAAAAUGGUGAUAAUGUUUUAUGGCACAGAGCGGAGCUGGGCUUUUUGCCCUCCCAGCUUCAGCACAUAAACUCUCACAUGCUCCAUUGCUAAAGCACCUGUUGCCCUGAUGGCUUGGGGAUGGCAGAACCUUUGCCCAUGUGCAGUAAUGCCAGCAUGCUGGCUCGUGCUUUGGGAAUGGCUGGACUCUCAAAAAAAAGAGGAAGUGUUAAUUUGGAGUGGCAAUUUGGCUCCUCUAACCCCCAUUCUGUGUUGUCAGACAAGGCAGCAGAUAACAAAAUGGGCACUUUUCUGCCAGAGACACACAGAUCCAAAAUCACUGAGCUUCUUCAUGUUUGUGAGUGAUUAAUGUAAAAAUUAAUGAGGGUUUAAUGUAAGUAAGGAAUGGAAAUGACUUAGCCCCAAGAUCAUGAAGUUUCUGCAGAGCAGAAUUGCUGAAUGACUUAGCAGAGGACUAAAUAAUGGACCUAAUCCCAUGCACAGCUGUGAAAGCACUUCUCUCUGUUUAUUUAAAAUGAAAACUCACAUAAAUGUGUGUGCAGAUCACUGCUGUGCAAACUUUUUCCCCUCCCAUGUAGAACUUUUGUGUUCUCUCAUGAGAAACCAUCACUGAAGGGCAGUCCUGGCUGAGCCAGGUACCCCAAGGUGGCCAAAACCCCAGGCUGGGCACUCACACCAGCUGAGGAUCCUGGCAGGAGCAGCUGGCAUGCACUGGGAGGGCACAGCCAAACGAGUUUUGCUGGCUGCUGCUGCUCUGGAGGGUUUCAGUUGUGUAAUCUCCAAUGCUUUGGGGUCAGCCUGUGCAGAUUCUCCAGCUGCCACGACAGGGUUGCUUUGCCUCCCUUCCCCAUGAGCCAGCAGUGGGGAGCAGAGCAGCUCCCCAGACAAAGCCCCUGGCUACAAGCAGAGUAUUGUGCCUCAGCUUUGGCAGAGUGGGCUGGGGCUGCAGUGAAGGCUGCCUCUUCCAUGUGUGAAUGGUGCUGAGAGCUGCUGGGCUGUGCAGCAUGCCCUGGAUGACGAAUUGUCGGAGCAGGCUGAGAGCAGCAGCCCCAGCCUGAGCACAGCCAGUGCUGCAGCCGAGCCCUCGGGGUGUCAAGGCAAAGGGGAGCCUGCCCCAUGCUAAUUAAAACUCUUCUCUCAACUUCUCCUUGGCAAAGUGCAAAGAAAUCCUCUUUUCAUGCCCAGCGAC
Zonotrichia leucophrys gambelii is the source of this 3564-nucleotide long non-coding RNA. RefSeq lists it as uncharacterized. The transcript has 3 exons. The record is from RefSeq and is a predicted model, not a curated record. Lineage: Eukaryota; Metazoa; Chordata; Aves; Passeriformes; Passerellidae.